GCGGAUGUAGCUCAGUUGGUAGAGCACCUGGUUGUGGCCCUGGUUGCCGUGGGUUCAAUCCCCAUCAUUCGCC
Molecule: transfer RNA, 73 nt
Filed under: Desulfovibrio litoralis DSM 11393
Lineage: Bacteria; Pseudomonadati; Thermodesulfobacteriota; Desulfovibrionia; Desulfovibrionales; Desulfovibrionaceae
Rfam family: tRNA
About the family: Transfer RNA (tRNA) molecules are approximately 80 nucleotides in length.
Source: Rfam by way of RNAcentral